This 274-nucleotide ribosomal RNA is filed under the name uncultured bacterium. Its description in RNAcentral is "partial 16S ribosomal RNA". It matches the Rfam family "Bacterial small subunit ribosomal RNA", at positions 523 to 796 of the family's 1533-position model. The record is from RNAcentral.
AUACGGAGGGUGCAAGCGUUAAUCGGAAUUACUGGGCGUAAAGCGCGCGUAGGCGGCUUUGUAAGUCGGAUGUGACAGCCCUGGGCUUAACCUGGGAAUGGCAUUCGAUACUGCAGAGCUAGAGUAUGGUAGAGGGAAGUGGAAUUUCCGGUGUAGCGGUGAAAUGCGUAGAUAUCGGAAGGAACACCAGUGGCGAAGGCGACUUCCUGGGCCAAUACUGACGCUGAGGUGCGAAAGCGUGGGUAGCGAACGGGAUUAGAAACCCCAGUAGUCC